Molecule: ribosomal RNA, 253 nt
Filed under: uncultured bacterium
Lineage: Bacteria
Description: partial 16S ribosomal RNA
Rfam family: Bacterial small subunit ribosomal RNA
Source: RNAcentral
UACGGGGGGGGCAAGCGUUGUUCGGAAUUACUGGGCGUAAAGGGUUCGUAGGUGGCCGACUAAGUCAGACGUGAAAUCCCUCAGCUCAACUGGGGAACUGCGUCUGAUACUGGUGGGCUUGAGUGCAGGAGAGGAACGCGGAAUUCCAGGUGUAGCGGUGAAAUGCGUAGAUAUCUGGAGGAACACCGGUGGCGAAGGCGGCGUUCUGGACUGUAACUGACACUGAAGAACGAAAGCCAGGGGAGCAAACGGG